RNAcentral lists this transfer RNA (85 nucleotides) under Clostridia bacterium. Its description in RNAcentral is "tRNA-Leu". It matches the Rfam family "tRNA". From Rfam's summary of the family: Transfer RNA (tRNA) molecules are approximately 80 nucleotides in length. Their secondary structure includes four short double-helical elements and three loops (D, anti-codon, and T loops). Lineage: Bacteria; Bacillati; Bacillota; Clostridia. The record is from RNAcentral.
GCGGAUAUGGCGGAAUUGGCAGACGCGCAUGAUUCAGGUGCAUGUGGGGCAACCCAUGCAGGUUCAAGUCCUGUUAUCCGCACCA